CCUACGGGUGGCAGCAGUGGGGGAUAUUGCACAAUGGGGGAAACCCUGAUGCAGCGACGCCGCGUGGGUGAAGAAGUAUUUCGGUAUGUAAAGCUCUAUCAGCAGGGACGAAAGAAGACGGUACCUGACUAAGAAGCCCCGGCUAACUACGUGCCAGCAGCCGCGGUAAUACGUAGGGGGCAAGCGUUAUCCGGAAUCACUGGGUGUAAAGGGAGCGUAGACGGCCGUGCAAGCCAGGAGUGAAAGCCGGGGGCCCAACCCCGGGACUGCUUUGGGAACUGUGCGGCUGGAGUGCGGGAGGGGCAGGGGGAAUUCCUGGUGUAGCGGUGAAAUGCGUAGAUAUUAGGAGGAACACCGGCGGCGAAGGCGGCCUGCUGGACCGCGACUGACGUUGAGGCUCGAAAGCGUGGGGAGCGAACAGGAUUAGAUACCCGGGUAGUC
This 441-nucleotide ribosomal RNA is filed under the name uncultured bacterium. Its description in RNAcentral is "partial 16S ribosomal RNA". It matches the Rfam family "Bacterial small subunit ribosomal RNA", at positions 338 to 795 of the family's 1533-position model. The record is from RNAcentral.